Drosophila yakuba is the source of this 2276-nucleotide long non-coding RNA. RefSeq lists it as uncharacterized. The transcript has 3 exons. Lineage: Eukaryota; Metazoa; Arthropoda; Insecta; Diptera; Drosophilidae. The record is from RefSeq and is a predicted model, not a curated record.
AGGCAAUUCAAUGGCCUUUGGCUGUUGCCGGCGCCGCCUGCGCCUGCGACACUAACGGUAAACGGGGAGCAAUGGCUGACUUCCGGUUUGGCUUUAAUCGUCUGCUGCCGUCGUAAAUGGCAGCAAAAUCGGCAAAAUGCGAGCAGCGAACAAUAAAAGAGAAAUUAGCAUAACACAUGAGACAACGACAACGGCAACGACAUCGCUCGUUGGUGGCGGCUCCCCUUGCGGAACCUCUUUCCCCUCGAUUUCACCAUGUUCUUUAUGUGUGAUUUUAAUGGGCUCGUGGGUGUCUGGGCCAUGGUCGCUUUUCUAUUUCAAUUGCCGACACGUGUACGCCGCGUAAAACAAAACAAGGAACAAGACCAUAAAGGCAUCACGCACAUGUCUGGCCAUUUGCAUUAUUUUACCCGCCCCUGAAAUUCUGCACCCAAAGUGCCAUUUAAUUGCCAUAAAGUGUCGGGGCGUGGUCACUCUCUUGCGUCAAUGCAAGAGUUCCAUAAACUUGGUCGUUAUUAUUUCGUGGGCUGUCCACCCUAUCAAGACGUCCGUUAAAUAAAAGUGCGUAAUCAAAUCUAACGCAUUUAGCCCGAACAACACGCGGCGCUGACACGGUACUUCUACUGAUUAGGAAUAGACGAAAAUAAACUGUACCAAAAUAGCUUAAACAUCAAAAACAAUACCAUCUUGCCGUCUAUCUAAAGUCCAACAAUGAAUUUUUGCUUUGGUUGAUAAUGGCAGGUUUAUUUCACAAAAACCUACAUACAUAUGUUGUUAUUCACUUUAAUUUAAAGGCAAUUUUUAUUUCUGACUUAUGGUACUACACAUGAGUAGUAUUUUUAAAAUAUGUACACAGAUUUAAAUUUAAUUCUGUUUAUAAUCGUAAUGUAAACACAAUUAUUUGUCAACACUUUUACGUUCAGUGUAAGCAUUUGGGCUUGCCAAAAAUAAUACGUAUUUGUUUUGUAUUUGACUGGGAAUUUCUUAGGAACACAAUUACUCGGCAGAAAAGCGGUUAUCAAUUGAUACGGCGGUCAGCAAUGAGAUGCUUUAUUUUUAGGCAUUUCAGAGAAUCGAAUUUUGCAAAUGCCUUGACCGUGAAUGUGUGUGGGUUGGGUAUGUGUGUGUGUGUGUGUAUGCAAGCGUGUUCGCUGCGGUUGUGUGGGUAACAAUAACAAUAACAGUAACAUGCGCCGAACGCUCCGUACUCAUGGUGUUUGGUUUUUUAUUUGGUUUUUUGCCGGUUUUUUUUCCCGGCAUGUGUCAGAUUUACAAUACCCUUCAAGAAAGUACUUACAAUUUGUUAAGGCAAAUACAAACAUGUUUUUAAUUUUAAUGCUUUCAAAUUUGAGAUAAUAAUACAUUUAAAGAUCUUAAGAACUUAAUUUAUAUUAAUACUAUAUGGGUAGCCUUUCUUACAUAAGAGAGUAUAUACAAAUCAGUGUUUCGAAAGCAUUGUGCUUUCCAGUUAUUUAACUCCCUGGUGCCUUUUAUAAUUAUUUUUAUUCUCCGUAGUUGACUUUUGUUUUCUCCCCACACAUGCCCAAUGUCAAGGCCCCUCCGAUACAAACGCGAGAAGUCGCCAAAAAUACGCCUGGUGGGAAAUGGCGAACACAAAAGGCAGCCACGCGCCUUUUUAUGGGGCGCAAUACGCAGGAACACAAGCCGAUGGCCCCCAGCGGAUCAACAUACAGGAAAAUAUAGUGAACGGACAUAUUGUCAGGCUACAUUCACAAACUAAUUACAUGCAACACAAUGUGUGUGCAAGCGGAAACCACUUCAUAUUUAUUUGUUUUAUUUAUUUGGGGACAAAUGUUAUUAACAACAAAAACAUUUCUUUGAUAGUUAAAUUUAACUUCACAUUUGUUUAACACUGUUUUACUACUUAGUUAUGAUUGUAUUUGUACAAGAUGAUAAAGCCGCAAAUGCGUCAAAGGAAACAAUAUACAUAUAUAAAAAUCAAAACAACUUUUAAUAACAAAUAGUGUUAAAAAACUCAUAGGCUUAUCUUUCAGUAUAAGUAUAUACAUUUUUAAAAAGAAAACCAUAAAACGAUUGAAUAUAUAUAAUUCGAAUUUGUCCUGCAUUCAAAAGUCGCGGGUCCAAGCAGUACACAAGCAGUUUUAUUUAUUUGUGGAGAACUGCUUAUGCACAAGUAUUCGACAAAAGCUUUUAGCGAAAAUGAUUUGUAGUCGAACACUGCUUCCCCUGCUAGCAAGCAGUCAUCCGCGGGAAAUUUAAAAUAUUUUAAAAGAAUAUCAAUAGAUGAAACCUUA